CCUACUCCUACCGGAGGCAGCAGUAGGGAAUCUUCCGCAAUGGACGAAAGUCUGACGGAGCAACGCCGCGUGAGUGAUGAAGGCUUUCGGGUCGUAAAACUCUGUUGUUAGGGAAGAACAAGUGCUAGUUGAAUAAGCUGGCACCUUGACGGUACCUAACCAGAAAGCCACGGCUAACUACGUGCCAGCAGCCGCGGUAAUACGUAGGUGGCAAGCGUUAUCCGGAAUUAUUGGGCGUAAAGCGCGCGCAGGUGGUUUCUUAAGUCUGAUGUGAAAGCCCACGGCUCAACCGUGGAGGGUCAUUGGAAACUGGGAGACUUGAGUGCAGAAGAGGAAAGUGGAAUUCCAUGUGUAGCGGUGAAAUGCGUAGAGAUAUGGAGGAACACCAGUGGCGAAGGCGACUUUCUGGUCUGUAACUGACACUGAGGCGCGAAAGCGUGGGGAGCAAACAGGAUUAGAUAC
This 462-nucleotide ribosomal RNA is filed under the name Bacillus cereus. RNAcentral's name for it is "bacterial SSU rRNA". It matches the Rfam family "Bacterial small subunit ribosomal RNA", at positions 332 to 785 of the family's 1533-position model. Lineage: Bacteria; Bacillati; Bacillota; Bacilli; Caryophanales; Bacillaceae. The record is from RNAcentral.